AUUAAUUACAUUUUUAAAAUGUUUUAUUUUAGUUUCAUAAAAACUGUUUUGGUGAUAAUGAGAGAAAAUCAUGUCACACAUUUUCAAUCUUCUUUUAUAGCUGGAACAUGAAAAUGCCCAGUUAAGAAAUAUAAAUUUCUCUUUGUCUGAAGCCCUUCAUGCACAGUCAUUGACAAAUAUGAUCCUGGAUGAUGAAGGUGUUUUGGGCAGCAUUGAGAAUUCUUUUCAGAAGUUUCAUGCUUUCUUGGAUCUCCUUAAAGAUGCUGGGCUUGGGCAGCUUGCCACAAUGGCUGGGAUAGAUCAGUCAGAUUUUCAAUUACUAGGUCAUCCCCAGAUGACUUCUUCUGUUAGUAAUCCACCUAAAGAAGAAAAGGCACUUGAAGAUGAAAAACCAGAACCAAAGCAGAAUGCCCUAGGGCAAGUGCAAAAUAUCCAGUUUCAGAAAAUUACAGGUGAUGCUAGAAUUCCUUUGCCUCUCGACUCCUUUCCUGUCCCAGUUUCUACUCCAGAGGCCUUAGGAACUUCCAGCAACAACCUAGGAGUCCCAGCCACUGAGCAGCGGCAGGAGUCUUUUGAAGGAUUCAUUGCUAGAAUGUGUUCUCCUUCACCAGAUGCAACUUCUGGAACUGGAAGUCAAAGAAAAGAAGAGGAGUUGUCCAGAAAUAGCAGAUCUUCUUCAGAGAAAAAGACCAAAACAGAAUCCCAUUGAAAUGACUGGAGAAAUAUUAAAAUAAAAAUAAUAGCAGAGUUGGAAAACCAGAAAUUUGAACACUGUGAAAUUUCUGGAAGAUAAGAAGCAGAUGAUUUAAGUACCAGUUAAUUAAAGGGUGGAACAGCUAAGCCAUUCCACUCAUCUUUGGAGCAUCUGAUUCUGGAGUUUGCCACCAGGCUAAGAAAGCAGCUAUCUGAAGUGAGAGCUCUGACCCAAGAAGUGCUGGGAUCGGAGAAUAAGGGAAUUAUCCAAAAUGGCUACGAAGAGGAACUGAAGUUAAGCUGCCCACAUGAUCUCUCUAACUAUGAUGACCUGCCACUUCCAUUUAUAAUCACCAUAUAAGUGCCUGUAAUCACUUGUGUUCAUUAAAAGUGAACCAGAAUUCCCAUUUGGAUGAAAAAACAACACUUCCAACUUUAAUCUUAGGCCCUCAUUUAUAAAUGGACAACCAAGAAUCAUCAAAUUUGAAGAAAACCAGUAACGUAAAAGGAGGCAUGAAAUUAAAAUUAACCUGUUCAAGAAGAUAGUUACUAGGAGAAACAUGAAAUUUUUAAUGAAUCAAAAUCUUCAGCAAUUCAUAAAGAUACUGUGUUCAUAAAGAAUAGGAUGCCAUAAAAAAUAUUUAGAGUUUCUGGAAAUUAAAAAUUUGAUUAUAAAACUGAAACACUCAGAAGAUGGACUACACAGCAGAAUGGAUUCAGUUGAAGCUUAAAUUCAUGAAAUGGAAGAUAUUAGUUGGUCUCAGACGUUUCAUCAGCAACUUAAUUACUUAGAAAAAAUCUUUCUCAGAGUAACUAAGCAAAAUGAACAAUGAAUCCAUUAAAGUGUGGUUUUGUUUUUUGGGUUUUUUUUUUGAGUCAAGGUCUCACUCAUGUCACCCAGGCUGGGGUGUAGUGAUGGGAUCACAGCUUAUUGUAACCAUGAACCUUUGGGCUUAAAUGAUCUUCCCACCUCAGCCUCCCAAGUAGCUGCAAUGUACCACCAUGCCUAUGUUUUAAAAAAUUAUUGUAGAUAUGGGUU
RNAcentral lists this small RNA (1732 nucleotides) under Pongo abelii (Sumatran orangutan). RNAcentral describes it as "retained intron". The record is from RNAcentral. Lineage: Eukaryota; Metazoa; Chordata; Mammalia; Primates; Hominidae.